Molecule: ribosomal RNA, 602 nt
Filed under: Trichoderma harzianum
Lineage: Eukaryota; Fungi; Ascomycota; Sordariomycetes; Hypocreales; Hypocreaceae
Description: eukaryotic LSU rRNA
Rfam family: 5.8S ribosomal RNA (bases 227-380)
Source: RNAcentral
UUGGUGACCAGCGGAGGGAUCAUUACCGAGUUUACAACUCCCAAACCCAAUGUGAACGUUACCAAACUGUUGCCUCGGCGGGAUCUCUGCCCCGGGUGCGUCGCAGCCCCGGACCAAGGCGCCCGCCGGAGGACCAACCAAAACUCUUAUUGUAUACCCCCUCGCGGGUUUUUUUAUAAUCUGAGCCUUCUCGGCGCCUCUCGUAGGCGUUUCGAAAAUGAAUCAAAACUUUCAACAACGGAUCUCUUGGUUCUGGCAUCGAUGAAGAACGCAGCGAAAUGCGAUAAGUAAUGUGAAUUGCAGAAUUCAGUGAAUCAUCGAAUCUUUGAACGCACAUUGCGCCCGCCAGUAUUCUGGCGGGCAUGCCUGUCCGAGCGUCAUUUCAACCCUCGAACCCCUCCGGGGGGUCGGCGUUGGGGAUCGGCCCUGCCUUGGCGGUGGCCGUCUCCGAAAUACAGUGGCGGUCUCGCCGCAGCCUCUCCUGCGCAGUAGUUUGCACACUCGCAUCGGGAGCGCGGCGCGUCCACAGCCGUUAAACACCCAACUUCUGAAAUGUUGACCUCGGAUCAGGUAGGAAUACCCGCUGAACUUAAGCAUAUCAA